AACGAACGCUGGCGGCGCGUUUUAAGCAUGCAAGUCGAACGGUACGGUACCUUCGGGUACUGGAGAGUGGCGAACGGGUGAGUAACACGUAGGUGAUCUACCGUGAGGAUGGGGAUAGCCUGUGGAAACACAGGGUAAUACCGAAGGAGCUCGGAGGACUGUGGUUUUCCGAGGAAAGGUCCUAAGGGACCGCCUUACGAUGAGCCUGCGGCUGAUUAGUUAGUUGGUGGGGUAAAGGCCUACCAAGGCAGCGAUCAGUAGCCGGCCUGAGAGGGUGGACGGCCACACUGGGACUGAGAUACGGCCCAGACUCCUACGGGAGGCAGCAGCUAAGAAUCUUCCGCAAUGGUCGCAAGACUGACGGAGCGACGCCGCGUGGGUGAUGAAGGCCGUGAGGUUGUAAAACCCUUUUCUGCCUGAGGAAUAAGCUUACGAGGGAAUGCGUGAGUGAUGACGGUAGGGCAGGAAUAAGCCCCGGCUAAUUACGUGCCAGCAGCCGCGGUAACACGUAUGGGGCGAGCGUUGUUCGGAAUUAUUGGGCGUAAAGGGCGCGUAGGCGGGAUAGCAAGUCUGGUGUGAAAGACCGCAGCUCAACUGCGGGAGCGCGCUGGAAACUGUUAACCUUGAGUUCCGGAGGGGGAGUUGGAAUUCCUGGUGUAGGGGUGAAAUCUGUAGAUAUCAGGAAGAACACCGGUGGCGAAGGCGAACUCCUGGACGGGAACUGACGCUGAGGCGCGAAAGCGUGGGGAGCGAACAGGAUUAGAUACCCUGGUAGUCCACGCCGUAAACGAUGUGCACU
RNAcentral lists this ribosomal RNA (799 nucleotides) under uncultured Spirochaetota bacterium. RNAcentral's name for it is "bacterial SSU rRNA". It matches the Rfam family "Bacterial small subunit ribosomal RNA", at positions 28 to 817 of the family's 1533-position model. The record is from RNAcentral. Lineage: Bacteria; Pseudomonadati; Spirochaetota.